RNAcentral lists this ribosomal RNA (445 nucleotides) under uncultured bacterium. RNAcentral describes it as "partial 16S ribosomal RNA". It matches the Rfam family "Bacterial small subunit ribosomal RNA", at positions 354 to 796 of the family's 1533-position model. The record is from RNAcentral.
GUGAGGAAUAUUGGUCAAUGGGCGGGAGCCUGAACCAGCCAAGUCGCGUGAAGGAAGAAGGAUCUAUGGUUCGUAAACUUCUUUUGCAGGGGAAUAAAGUGCAGGACGUGUCCUGUUUUGUAUGUACCCUGAGAAUAAGGAUCGGCUAACUCCGUGCCAGCAGCCGCGGUAAUACGGAGGAUCCGAGCGUUAUCCGGAUUUAUUGGGUUUAAAGGGUGCGUAGGUGGUUUGAUAAGUCAGCGGUGAAAGUUUGCAGCUUAACUGUAAAAAUGCCGUUGAAACUGUCGGACUUGAGUGUAAAUGAGGUAGGCGGAAUGCGUGGUGUAGCGGUGAAAUGCAUAGAUAUCACGCAGAACUCCGAUUGCGAAGGCAGCUUACUAAGCUACAACUGACAGUGAAGCACGAAAGCGUGGGGAUCAAACAGGAUUAGAAACCCGUGUAGUCC